Non-coding RNA from Balaenoptera musculus (blue whale), 73 nucleotides. Lineage: Eukaryota; Metazoa; Chordata; Mammalia; Artiodactyla; Balaenopteridae. The record is from the annotation of a RefSeq genome assembly.
UCCUUGGUGGUCCAGUGGUUAGGACUUGGCACUUCCACUGCCAGGGGCCCAGGUUUGAUCCCUGGUUAGGGAA